Helianthus annuus (common sunflower) is the source of this 422-nucleotide non-coding RNA. Lineage: Eukaryota; Viridiplantae; Streptophyta; Magnoliopsida; Asterales; Asteraceae. The record is from Rfam.
CUACGGACUUAAUUGGAUUGAGCCUUGGUAUGGAAACUUACUAAGUGAUAACUUUCAAAUUCAGAGAAACCCUGGAAUUAAUAAAAAUGGGCAAUCCUGAGCCAAAUCACGUUUUCCGAAAACAAACAAAGGUUCAGAAAGCGAAAAUAAAAAAGGAUAGGUGCAGAGACUCGAUGGAAGCUGUUCUAACGAAUGGAGUUGAUUGUCUUACAUUGGUAGAGGAAUCCUUCUAUCGAAACUUCAGAAAAGAGGAAGGAUAAACCUGUAUACAUAGAAGAAUUGGUAUGAAUCGAUUCCAUAUUGAAGAAAGAAUCAAAUAUUCAUUGAUCAAAGCAUUCACGCAUAAUCUGAUAGAUCUUUUGAAUAACUGAUGAAAUCGGACGAGAAUAAAGAUAGAGUCCCGUUCUACAUGUCAAUACCGG